Molecule: ribosomal RNA, 482 nt
Filed under: uncultured bacterium
Lineage: Bacteria
Description: partial 16S ribosomal RNA
Rfam family: Bacterial small subunit ribosomal RNA
Source: RNAcentral
AUUGAACGCCGGCGGCAUGCCUUACACAUGCAAAUCGAACGGUAACGGGCCUUCGGGUGCCGACGAGUGGCGAACGGGUGAGUAAUACAUCGGAACGUGCCCGAUCGUGGGGGAUAACGAGGCGAAAGCUUUGCUAAUACCGCAUACGAUCUACGGAUGAAAGCAGGGGACCGCAAGGCCUUGCGCGGACGGAGCGGCCGAUGGCAGAUUAGGUAGUUGGUGGGAUAAAAGCUUACCAAGCCGACGAUCUGUAGCUGGUCUGAGAGGAUGAUCAGCCACACUGGGACUGAGACACGGCCCAGACUCCUACGGGAGGCAGCAGUGGGGAAUUUUGGACAAUGGGCGCAAGCCUGAUCCAGCCAUGCCGCGUGCAGGAUGAAGGCCUUCGGGUUGUAAACUGAUUUUGUACGGAACGAAAAGCCUUCUUUUAAUACAGGAGGGUCAUGACGGUACCGUAAGAAUAAGCACCGGCUAACUACGUG